UAUUUAAUAGUUUAUUUAAAACAUUAAAUUGCAAAUUUAAAAAUGUUAUAACUAAUAACUUAAAUAU
Molecule: transfer RNA, 67 nt
Filed under: Platyscapa corneri
Lineage: Eukaryota; Metazoa; Arthropoda; Insecta; Hymenoptera; Agaonidae
Description: tRNA-Cys
Source: RNAcentral